ACAGAUGAACGCUGGCGGCAUGCCUUACACAUGCAAGUCGAACGGCAGCAUGAUCUAGCUUGCUAGAUUGAUGGCGAGUGGCGAACGGGUGAGUAAUACAUCGGAACGUGCCCUGUAGUGGGGGAUAACUAGUCGAAAGAUUAGCUAAUACCGCAUACGACCUGAGGGUGAAAGUGGGGGACCGCAAGGCCUCAUGCUAUAGGAGCGGCCGAUGUCUGAUUAGCUAGUUGGUGGGGUAAAGGCCCACCAAGGCGACGAUCAGUAGCUGGUCUGAGAGGACGAUCAGCCACACUGGGACUGAGACACGGCCCAGACUCCUACGGGAGGCAGCAGUGGGGAAUUUUGGACAAUGGGCGAAAGCCUGAUCCAGCAAUGCCGCGUGUGUGAAGAAGGCCUUCGGGUUGUAAAGCACUUUUGUCCGGAAAGAAAUGGCUCUGGUUAAUACCUGGGGUCGAUGACGGUACCGGAAGAAUAAGGACCGGCUAACUACGUGCCAGCAGCCGCGGUAAUACGUAGGGUCCAAGCGUUAAUCGGAAUUACUGGGCGUAAAGCGUGCGCAGGCGGUUGUGCAAGACCGAUGUGAAAUCCCCGAGCUUAACUUGGGAAUUGCAUUGGUGACUGCACGGCUAGAGUGUGUCAGAGGGGGGUAGAAUUCCACGUGUAGCAGUGAAAUGCGUAGAGAUGUGGAGGAAUACCGAUGGCGAAGGCAGCCCCCUGGGAUAACACUGACGCUCAUGCACGAAAGCGUGGGGAGCAAACAGGAUUAGAUACCCUGGUAGUCCACGCCCUAAACGAUGUCAACUAGUUGUUGGGGAUUCAUUUCCUUAGUAACGUAGCUAACGCGUGAAGUGACCGCCUGGAGACGCCACUGC
This 872-nucleotide ribosomal RNA is filed under the name Ralstonia sp. M_Sw_oHS_09/11_4_1(1). Its description in RNAcentral is "bacterial SSU rRNA". It matches the Rfam family "Bacterial small subunit ribosomal RNA", at positions 24 to 889 of the family's 1533-position model. Lineage: Bacteria; Pseudomonadati; Pseudomonadota; Betaproteobacteria; Burkholderiales; Burkholderiaceae. The record is from RNAcentral.